UAGGGAAUAUUGGGCAAUGGACGAGAGUCUGAUCCAGCCAUGCCGCGUGCAGGAAGACGGCGUUCUGCGUUGUAAACUGCUUUUAUCUGGGAAGAAAAGGCCCCUGCGGGGGACAUUGCCGGUACCAGAUGAAUAAGCACCGGCUAACUCCGUGCCAGCAGCCGCGGUAAUACGGAGGGUGCAAGCGUUGUCCGGAUUUAUUGGGUUUAAAGGGUGCGUAGGCGGCUGUUUAAGUCAGUGGUGAAAGACCCCGGCUCAACCGGGGCAGUGCCAUUGAUACUGGACAGCUUGAGUAUUGGAGGGGUACAUGGAAUUGACGGUGUAGCGGUGAAAUGCAUAGAUACCGUCAGGAACACCGAUAGCGAAGGCAUUGUACUGGCCAACAACUGACGCUGAUGCACGAAAGCAUGGGUAGCGA
RNAcentral lists this ribosomal RNA (418 nucleotides) under uncultured bacterium. RNAcentral's name for it is "bacterial SSU rRNA". It matches the Rfam family "Bacterial small subunit ribosomal RNA", at positions 355 to 771 of the family's 1533-position model. The record is from RNAcentral.